GGGCGAGUAACGCGUGGGAACGUACCUUUUGGUUCGGAACAACACAGGGAAACUUGUGCUAAUACCGGAUAAGCCCUUACGGGGAAAGAUUUAUCGCCGAAAGAUCGGCCCGCGUCUGAUUAGCUAGUUGGUGAGGUAACGGCUCACCAAGGCGACGAUCAGUAGCUGGUCUGAGAGGAUGAUCAGCCACAUUGGGACUGAGACACGGCCCAAACUCCUACGGGAGGCAGCAGUGGGGAAUAUUGGACAAUGGGCGCAAGCCUGAUCCAGCCAUGCCGCGUGAGUGAUGAAGGCCCUAGGGUUGUAAAGCUCUUUUGUGCGGGAAGAUAAUGACGGUACCGCAAGAAUAAGCCCCGGCUAACUUCGUGCCAGCAGCCGCGGUAAUACGAAGGGGGCUAGCGUUGCUCGGAAUCACUGGGCGUAAAGGGUGCGUAGGCGGGUCUUUAAGUCAGGGGUGAAAUCCUGGAGCUCAACUCCAGAACUGCCUUUGAUACUGAAGAUCUUGAGUUCGGGAGAGGUGAGUGGAACUGCGAGUGUAGAGGUGAAAUUCGUAGAUAUUCGCAAGAACACCAGUGGCGAAGGCGGCUCACUGGCCCGAUACUGGCGCUGAGGCACGAAAGCGUGGGGAGCAAACAGGAUUAGAUACCCCUGGUAGUCCACGCCGUAAACGAUGAAAUGCCAGCCGUUAGUGGGUUUACUCACUA
Molecule: ribosomal RNA, 704 nt
Filed under: uncultured bacterium
Lineage: Bacteria
Description: bacterial SSU rRNA
Rfam family: Bacterial small subunit ribosomal RNA
Source: RNAcentral